CCUACGGGCGGCAGCAGUGGGGAAUCUUGCACAAUGGGGGAAACCCUGAUGCAGCGACGCCGCGUGAGUGAAGAAGUAUCUCCGUAUGGUAAGCUCUAUCAGCAGGGGAGAAGAAAGACGGUAUCUGACUAAGAAGCCCCGGCUAACUACGUGCUAGCCGCCGCGGUAAUACGGAGGGGGCAAGCGUUAUCCGGAUUUACUGGGUGUAACGGGAGCGUAGACGGCUGUGCAAGUCUGAAGUGAAAGCCCAGGGCUCAACCCGGGGACUGCCUUGGAAACUGUGGGGCUAGAGUGCUGGAGGGGUAAGUGGAAUUCCUAGUGUAGCGGUGAAAUGCGUAGAUAUUAGGAGGAACACCAGUGGCGAAGGCGGCUUACUGGACAGUAACUGACGUUGAGGCUCGAAAGCGUGGGGAGCGAACAGGAUUAGAUACCCGGGUAGUC
Molecule: ribosomal RNA, 441 nt
Filed under: uncultured bacterium
Lineage: Bacteria
Description: partial 16S ribosomal RNA
Rfam family: Bacterial small subunit ribosomal RNA
Source: RNAcentral